Molecule: ribosomal RNA, 834 nt
Filed under: Camporesia sambuci
Lineage: Eukaryota; Fungi; Ascomycota; Sordariomycetes; Xylariales; Xylariaceae
Also listed under: 1 other name
Description: partial large subunit ribosomal RNA
Rfam family: Eukaryotic large subunit ribosomal RNA
Source: RNAcentral
UUGCCCUAGUAACGGCGAGUGAAGCGGCAACAGCUCAAAUUUGAAAUCUGGCCCUCGUGGUCCGAAUUGUAAUUUGUAGAGGAUGCUUUUGGUGCGGUGCCUUCCGAGUUCCCUGGAACGGGACGCCGGAGAGGGUGAGAGCCCCGUACGGUUGGACACCUAGCCUCUGUAUAGCUCCUUCAACGAGUCGAGUAGUUUGGGAAUGCUGCUCUAAAUGGGAGGUAAAUUUCUUCUAAAGCUAAAUACCGGCCAGAGACCGAUAGCGCACAAGUAGAGUGAUCGAAAGAUGAAAAGCACUUUGAAAAGAGGGUUAAAUAGCACGUGAAAUUGUUGAAAGGGAAGCGUUUGCGACCAGACCUUUUCCGGGCGGAUCAUCCGGCGUUCUCGCCGGUGCACUUCGCCCGGUUUAGGCCAGCAUCGGUUUUCUUAGGGGGAUAAAGGCUUGGGGAAUGUAGCUCUUUCGGGAGUGUUAUAGCCCCUUGCGUAAUACCCCUUGGGGGACCGAGGACCGCGCUCUGCAAGGAUGCUGGCGUAAUGGUCGUCAACGACCCGUCUUGAAACACGGACCAAGGAGUCGAACAUUUGUGCGAGUGUUUGGGUGUUAAACCCUCACGCGUAAUGAAAGUGAACGGAGGUGAGAGCCCUUACGGGUGCAUCAUCGACCGAUCCUGAUGUCUUCGGAUGGAUUUGAGUAAGAGCAUAACUGUUCGGACCCGAAAGAUGGUGAACUAUGCGUGGAUAGGGUGAAGCCAGAGGAAACUCUGGUGGAGGCUCGCAGCGGUUCUGACGUGCAAAUCGAUCGUCAAAUCUGCGCAUGGGGGCGAAAGACUAUCG